CAGCAGCCACGGUAAUACGUAGGUGGCAAGCGUUGACCGGAAUUAUUGGGCGUAAAGGGCACGUAGGCGGUGAAAAGGGUGGAAAGUGAAAGUCGCCAAAACACUGGCGGGGUGCUUUCUUGACCAUUUCACUUGAGUGAGAUAGGGGAGAGUGGAAUUUCGUGUGGAGGGAUCAAAUCCUAAUAUAUACGAAGGAACGCCAACCGCGAAGGCAGCUCUCUGGGUCCCCACUGACGCUGGGGUGCGAAAGCAUUGGGGAGCAAACAGGAUCAGAUACCCCAGUAGUCCCUGUCUCUUAUAC
RNAcentral lists this ribosomal RNA (301 nucleotides) under uncultured bacterium. RNAcentral describes it as "partial 16S ribosomal RNA". It matches the Rfam family "Bacterial small subunit ribosomal RNA", at positions 509 to 807 of the family's 1533-position model. The record is from RNAcentral.